UCAGGAGAGCUCAUGCGGUAGGCAGAGGACUGAAAAUUCUGGUGUCGCCAGUUCAAAUCUGGUUCCUG
RNAcentral lists this transfer RNA (68 nucleotides) under Erica gerhardii. RNAcentral's name for it is "tRNA-Phe". The record is from RNAcentral. Lineage: Eukaryota; Viridiplantae; Streptophyta; Magnoliopsida; Ericales; Ericaceae.